RNAcentral lists this long non-coding RNA (215 nucleotides) under Daucus carota (carrot). Its description in RNAcentral is "long non-coding RNA (DCAR_LNC006617)". The record is from RNAcentral. Lineage: Eukaryota; Viridiplantae; Streptophyta; Magnoliopsida; Apiales; Apiaceae.
GAAGUCUUGUGGUGUUCGUAACGCAUUUACACUGCGAAGCGCUCUGACCUUAGACCGAGCAAUUAAUCACCAAUAAAAAGAAAAAAAAAAUAGUAGUGAAUAAAAUAGAAGGGUGUGGACAUUCUUUGGGACCUUGGCUUUUAGUUGGACUUGAGUGACGGGGUGUUAGUUUUAAACUUUUACGAUUCUUGAUUGGGAUUCUGUGGGAGUAGUAG